UCCAGAGGGUGCAAGCGUUAAUCGGAAUUACUGGGCGUAAAGCGUGCGUAGACGGUUGCGUAAGUCAGAUGUGAAAGCCCCGGGCUCAACCUGGGAAUUGCAUUUGAGACUGCGUAGCUAGGGUGCGGAAGAGGGAAGCGGAAUUUCCGGUGUAGCGGUGAAAUGCGUAGAUAUCUGGAGGAACACCGGUGGCGAAGGCGGCAUCCUGGACCGAUAUUGACGCUGAUGCGCGAAAGCCAGGGGAGCAAACGGG
Molecule: ribosomal RNA, 253 nt
Filed under: uncultured bacterium
Lineage: Bacteria
Description: partial 16S ribosomal RNA
Rfam family: Bacterial small subunit ribosomal RNA
Source: RNAcentral